This is a non-coding RNA of Pelobates cultripes (western spadefoot toad), 390 nucleotides long. The record is from the annotation of a GenBank genome assembly. Lineage: Eukaryota; Metazoa; Chordata; Amphibia; Anura; Pelobatidae.
CAGAGACCUGGCUGUCCCCCUCUGAUAGCGCUACUCCUGCCUCUUUAUGUUUUGAUGGGCUUCAAUUCUCUCACACUCCCAGACUCAACUGUAAAGGAGGCGGCGUAGGCAUCCUUCUCUCCCCUCAAUGUACCUUUCAACCAAUCAUAACUCCCCCUGCCCUAUCCUUUUCUUCUUUUGAUGUUCACACUGUCCGCCUAUUCAAACCCACUCCUUUAAGAAUUGCUAUCAUCUACCCCGGUUAUCCUAGACUAUUCAUUGAGCACUUUUCUUCCUGGCUUCCCCACUUCCUCUCAUCUAGCACUCCUUCCCUUAUACUUGGGGAUUUCAAUAUCCCAAUCAAUAACCCCAAUUGCACUGAUGCCUCUCGUCUGCUCUGUAACCUACUCC